Molecule: ribosomal RNA, 327 nt
Filed under: uncultured Candidatus Sumerlaeota bacterium
Lineage: Bacteria; Candidatus Sumerlaeota
Description: bacterial SSU rRNA
Rfam family: Bacterial small subunit ribosomal RNA
Source: RNAcentral
AACGAACGCUGGCGGCGUGGAUUAGGCAUGCAAGUCGUGCGCGAAAGUGGUAGCAAUACCGCGAGUAGAGCGGCGAACUGGUGAGUACAAGGUGACUAACGUGCCCUUGAGUGGGGGAUAACUCGCCGAAAGGCGGGCUAAUACCGCAUGAUCUCAUGGAGACCUCGGUUUUCGUGAGUAAAGCAGUAAUGCGCUCAGGGAUCGGGUCACCUCCCAUUAGCUAGUUGGUAGGGUAAUGGCCUACCAAGGCUACGAUGGGUAGCUGGUCUGAGAGGAUGGUCAGCCACACUGGGACUGAGAUACGGCCCAGACUCCUACGGGAGGCAG